Molecule: microRNA, 22 nt
Filed under: Mus musculus (house mouse)
Lineage: Eukaryota; Metazoa; Chordata; Mammalia; Rodentia; Muridae
Description: mmu-miR-804
Gene: mmu-miR-804
Source: miRBase by way of RNAcentral
UGUGAGUUGUUCCUCACCUGGA